Molecule: ribosomal RNA, 562 nt
Filed under: uncultured bacterium
Lineage: Bacteria
Description: bacterial SSU rRNA
Rfam family: Bacterial small subunit ribosomal RNA
Source: RNAcentral
CCUACGGGAGGCAGCAGUGGGGAAUAUUGGACAAUGGGCGAAAGCCUGAUCCAGCAAUGCCGCGUGAGUGAUGAAGGCCUUAGGGUUGUAAAGCUCUUUUACCAGGGAUGAUAAUGACAGUACCUGGAGAAUAAGCUCCGGCUAACUCCGUGCCAGCAGCCGCGGUAAUACGGAGGGAGCUAGCGUUGUUCGGAAUUACUGGGCGUAAAGCGUACGUAGGCGGUUAUUCAAGUCAGAGGUGAAAGCCCGGGGCUCAACCCCGGAACUGCCUUUGAAACUAGAUAGCUAGAAUCUUGGAGAGGUUAGUGGAAUUCCGAGUGUAGAGGUGAAAUUCGUAGAUAUUCGGAAGAACACCAGUGGCGAAGGCGACUAACUGGACAAGUAUUGACGCUGAGGUACGAAAGCGUGGGGAGCAAACAGGAUUAGAUACCCUGGUAGUCCACGCCGUAAACGAUGAUAACUAGUUGUUCGGGCACUUGGUGCCUGAGUGACGCAGCUAACGCAUUAAGUUAUCCGCCUGGGGAGUACGGUCGCAAGNUUAAAACUCAAAUGAAAUUGACGG